GCAAAAUAGCGGUCAUUCCAAAACAUCCUGUAAUUAUGAAGCAUUUUUUCACGUCUUGCCUACUUCUUUACAUCAAGAGAAAUUCAGAAAUGUCUCUCAGCCCAGCUGUCCUCAGUAGCUCCAGAGUGCCGUGUUGCUGUGAGUUUCCAAGAGGGAAGGCUUUGUGACCCAGCUGGCACUUGUCCACUCCGUUCUUGGGUUACUUGACAUCCAUCUCAAUUUAAAAUACGCUGAGGAAUAAUGUAAUUGCCCACCAGGAAGCGAGGAUUAGGUUUUAAGGGCUGCUGUUACAUAUCUGUCAGACAUUAAUAUUCAUUGCUGCUAGAUGUUGUUUAGUACCAAGGCAGUCCUUGAGCUGCAGGACCCCAGAGUGAUUUACAUAGGCAUCAGUUAUGCAAUCACUUUCUGAGGGCGCUGAAGUACAAUGAAAAAAAGUAUUUGGUUGGAGUUCUGAGCUGGUUUAAAAUGCACCACUGAAAUGGCUAACAGAACAAACUCCUCCGAGUAUUUUUGGUCGUAUGAAUAUUACUGGGAUUAUAUAGAUCCAAUUCCAGUAGAUGGAAGCAAGUUGAAGGUUAAUAAAUAUUCUAUUGUCAUAGCCUUUUGGGUUGGGCUUGCUGCGUUUGUGACGUUUCUUUUCCUUAUUUUACUGUAUAUGUCCCGCUCUGGAUCAACUCCAGUAAAACAAGUGAUUGUAGGGAGCCAGAUAGAAGAAAGCAGUUCCAAUGGUGAACAGCCUCACUGCGAUGAUCUCAGUAGCCCAUACUCAGAUGUGGUUGCUUCUCAAACACCUACCUCCCUUUCAAAUGAAACUGGCAUUCAUGGAAGGAUCUGAGCUGGAGUUAAAACUGGAACAGGUUAAACAAAACCGGCAGUACAGUUCUCCUGACUGCAAAGUUCACUGCUGUGACUGUCUAUUAAACGCUGAUACCACAAACCUGAAUUAAUUCAGGAGAAGAAGAAAAAUGUCUUUCAACAAAGGACAAACAUGAAAAAUCCUGGAUGCAUAAGAGGAAGUCUUAACAACCAUAUCUGAGCAAUGUUGCUGGAGUUACCUGAUCAGCAUUUUAGAUGAACAUUUUAGAUCCUGAUGAUGAUGAUGAUGACGACUGUAAAAUUUCUCUGUCUUUCUUAAGUAAGGAUUUGGAGUCAGACUCCUCUCCCAGUUAAGUGGUGCAAAGGGUGUGCUGCUGACUGAGUGGUUCUCUUUAAGACCCAUGUGGCUGACAGCAGAUUUACUCCUCUUGUGGGAAGUCUAUACCAGUUAUGCCCUGAAUCCUGUAAAGAGUUCACCUGAAGGCACACUGAGUCCUGUUAUCCUCGGGGGUGUCUCUGCAGCAUCAGUUUUCACUGCGUUGUCUUGCUGUGAAAGCAAGAAGCAUCCCACUGAUCUUACUGAACAGGCAGCAUCACCAACAUUGUUUAUGUAUCAUGAGAGCCACAAGUCAUGCACUUCUGCUUCUAUCCUCAGGUCACACUCAUCAGUUACAUCUUAAUGAUACCUGCACUUGGUUAUCCUCUGAAAAUGAGCAACAGUGUCAAGUGCAACAUUGACAAUAAAACUUUGCUUUUAGAAGGGUUACAAUUUGCUUCACUAACUUAAAGCUCAGCAGUUCCCUCAAUGAUUGAGUAUGCCUUUUUAUUUACUUUGUUAUUGCAAAAAAUAUUUGGGCUACUUAAAAUUUGUUAAAACACUGUUCACCUAGAAUGGCCUUUAAAAAGCUAAUGGCGGCACUAAUUAUCUCAAGUAAGUGUCUUACUGAAUAAAGUCAUUAGCUUUACCUACUGCCUGUAAAUGCAGUUUUGCUAACAAUAACUGAUUACUUUUUGCUUCCAUUUUGAUAUAGUAGAUGGAAAAGAAACUGUUAAUAUCGAACAGUCUUGAAAUGGUAUCUGUUAGUUACCCAGGCAUUAGAGAGUGUUUACCAUAUUUGGUAUCAAAGGGAAAUGCUGGCAAAACCACAAAAUCAACAUUUUAUUUCUGCACGAGUUGUCUGCUUUCAGCCUCGACUGACAAGUAGUUUAACAGAAGCUACAGCCCUCCAUGAGAGCCACAGCAGCUUUUUGGUGAGGUGGAGAGGACGGGUUUAGCUCAGCUGGAGCAGAGUCAGAAGGGCCACUCGCACUCCCUCUCUCUUCAGUGGCCUCUGCUCUCUCCACCUCUCCUCACAUGUGGAGCUUCGCCAAACCCAGGCAGGACAAGACAAAGGUCCACGAGAGGUUGAGGUACACUUAGAGCUGAAGUAAGCAUGAAGCUGAGACUGCAGGGUUGAGAUGAGGAAGGCAGCAAGGGUUGGAAUGGAUUUUAAGACUGCAUAGCUAGUUGCUGGGCUGAGAACAACACAAACUUUAUUUGAAGCUUGAGAAGCUUAGGAAUUCCACUUCCCAGAGCAGGCAGCAAAAACUCCUACGGUGAAGCACUGCCAGAGCAGCCUUAUGCUGUGUGCAGGGAAUGUGGGCUAUGAUGUUACCAGAGACUGGGUGGGCUGGGCUGUGUUAAAAAUGUCUUAAACAGAAGAGACAGACCAAACCUGGUGGCAUAUGUUUAUAUUGUGGGGUUUUUUUAAUCUUCAAAUUUUUUAAUCUCUGAGAUAAACACUUCUACAGUUUGCUUUUUGAGCAAAAUACUACGGGUGUUGGGCUUGGAAACCUGUCAAGGCAUAAAGUCUGUUGAGUCAGACUGAGUCAUGGGCAAAGGGAGAAAACAAGGAAAGGCUGCAGGAACUGAGGGUGCCACAUGGACAGAGAUGUAUCAGAGAACCAAACAUUUCCACUGGUCAACUCAGAUGGCCACAGCAGCCUUCCUCUCCCCUCAGACACCUUUACCUUUUCCUGGAGCUGAGGUAGUUCUCACAGGAGACAUGAAUCAACUCCCUCGUUGGCACCAGCUCUCCCGCUGCAAACUGGGACAGUUUCCUUUAACCCCACUGCAAUCACACAGAAUCAUCAAAGACAAUCUGAAGAGAACCCAGACAUCUAGACCCAUUUCCCUCCUCAAGGAUGCAGCAACUGCAUUUCAGUCAUUCCUGCCAUGUCCAUCUACACUGAGCUAGAACAUCUCUCCUGCAAGUUCUGCACUGCCUGCCAGUGCAGUCUGAUCUGGCAUCCUCCUCCCUGACCCACAGCAGACUCGUAUCACAGUGAUUUUCAAGAAUGGCUUUUCUACACAUGGAUUCCAAGGGAAUUUCUGAAAGAUGUGAAUAUUCCCAUUCGUAACAACUGGUGUUCUUAUACUAGUUGGACUAGAACAUGACUCAAAGUACAUAACCACUGAAGACUUGUCCCCUUUCAAAUUACCUGGAAAUGGAAGGCAUAUAGUAUGAAGUAUA
Long non-coding RNA from Athene cunicularia (burrowing owl), 3329 nucleotides. RefSeq lists it as uncharacterized. The transcript has 3 exons. The record is from RefSeq and is a predicted model, not a curated record. Lineage: Eukaryota; Metazoa; Chordata; Aves; Strigiformes; Strigidae.